Molecule: long non-coding RNA, 1409 nt
Filed under: Cavia porcellus (domestic guinea pig)
Lineage: Eukaryota; Metazoa; Chordata; Mammalia; Rodentia; Caviidae
Description: lncRNA (ENSCPOG00000038133.1)
Source: RNAcentral
GUCCAAGGCGGAGGGGCCUGGGUUUUGCACCACACCGGUGGAUCCGCUCCCCAGCCCAGGGUGGCUCCCUCAGCCCUCUGUCCCCUGCACACCAGGCACACCAGUUAUCUGCUGGGAAGCGGCUGGCAGCGAGACCUCAUGAGUCAUGUGUGUCAUCAGGACAGAGUGGCACUGUCACCAAGCCCCCAGUGCAAAGCAGCCAGAAGGUGGAAAUGAGGCUCCCACCACACAGGCAGGCAGGACCCCAAUGUUCACAUCGAGGGUCCCGGCCACCGCGAAGCGGCCAGUGAGAGCUGUCCUGCGCCCCAGCCACCCCGGCCCUAGCCUUGUCCCCAGCCCUGGGGGUCAGCUGGGAGCGGCCUCCCCAGCUGCCUCCGGAAGUGAGGCAGCUCUUUCGUGUCCCAGGGACCAGGACGGGAAGGGCGGCCAUUUGGCCGGGUCCGUUUCCUGUGGGGUUUCCCCUGCACACAGCCUGGGCCGUGCCAAGGCCACUCCUGUCGCCACAGGCGCGCGAGUCCGGUCCCGCGUGGGGAGGCCGCGGCCACGCAGGUGCCCCGGGCCCGGACUGCUUCUCGUCCAGGCUCCGGCUCAGUCCUGGGGGCCGGGCUCCCCCGCCAGGCCAGCGCCAGGGAUGGAGGUGACUGGAUGCAUCCUGAGGUGCACCCGGACCCCAGACAGAGGAGGAGAAAGGGACCCGGGUGUCCCCAAAGAGCGUGGCACCCAGGGCCUAGGCAGGAGGGGGUGAGGCAUUGGCUCUUCUCUCAUCUCAACGCACCCCAAUUCGUGAUGCAUAAAAUGGAGGUCCCAUGGUCGUCCUGGGCCCUGCACAGAGGACACCCAAGCGGAGCCAGGGCUGGCACCACACGCCUGUCAUCCCAGCCUUGGCGAGGCUGAGGCGGGAGGAGCAAUGCGACUCUGAAGCCAACCUGGGCUCUGCAGUGAGUUCAAGGCCCGCCUGGAAUUCGUGUGAAACCUGUCUCACCCUAAAAAUAAAAAGUACAAUGUCCCACCACCAGUGUUCCCAACAGCCUCAUUCUCUAGGGAUGGACCCCACACAAGGUGCAAGGCUGUCUUGGAAAGGGUGGCCAAGUCCCACGUGGAUGGCAGGGUCAGGCAGAUGGCCCCUGGUCCGCACCGGGCCUGUCGCCCCAGGAACCUAGAUGCACAGCUGCAGCCCCCACACAAUGUCUGGGCCCCACCUGCAACCAGGCCUGGAUGUGGGGUCCCUGGAGGACCCCAGAGCGCGCACCUCUGCUCUCUGCCCUGCAGCAGGAAUCUUCAGAGGCGUGGAGGCCGGGCCAGCACAGACAGGCCCGACCCCCGGACACGCCCUGUCACGCACGGCCUCUGCGUGCCAGCUCGGGCCCAGCCGGCAGCUAUUUUAGGGCCCCUCCAGGCCCGUGGGCAAG